RNAcentral lists this microRNA precursor (133 nucleotides) under Marmota monax (woodchuck). Lineage: Eukaryota; Metazoa; Chordata; Mammalia; Rodentia; Sciuridae. The record is from RNAcentral.
UCUCAUAUCACUUGGAGGGUUUGUUAAUAAAACAAACUCUAGGAUGGACCCCACCCUAGAGUUUCUAAUUCAAUAGGGUCUAGGGUGGAGCCUGAGAAUUUGCAUUUUUAACAAGCUCCCAGGUGAUGCUGAU